GUGGGGUGAUGGCCUACCAAGGCGACGACGGGUAGCCGGCCUGAGAGGGUGUCCGGCCACACUGGGACUGAGAUACGGCCCAGACUCCUACGGGAGGCAGCAGUGGGGAAUAUUGCACAAUGGGCGCAAGCCUGAUGCAGCGACGCCGCGUGAGGGACGACGGCCUUCGGGUUGUAAACCUCUUUCAGCACAGACGAAGCGCAAGUGACGGUACGUGCAGAAGAAGCACCGGCCAACUACGUGCCAGCAGCCGCGGUAAUACGUAGGGUGCGAGCGUUGUCCGGAAUUACUGGGCGUAAAGAGCUCGUAGGUGGUUUGUCGCGUUGUUCGUGAAAACUCACAGCUCAACUGUGGGCGUGCGGGCGAUACGGGCAGACUGGAGUACUGCAGGGGAGACUGGAAUUCCUGGUGUAGCGGUGGAAUGCGCAGAUAUCAGGAGGAACACCGGUGGCGAAGGCGGGUCUCUGGGCAGUAACUGACGCUGAGGAGCGAAAGCGUGGGGAGCGAACAGGAUUAGAUACCCUGGUAGUCCACGCCGUAAACGGUGGGUACUAGGUGUGGGUUUCCUUCCUUGGGAUCCGUGCCGUAGCUAACGCAUUAAGU
RNAcentral lists this ribosomal RNA (603 nucleotides) under uncultured bacterium. RNAcentral's name for it is "bacterial SSU rRNA". It matches the Rfam family "Bacterial small subunit ribosomal RNA", at positions 252 to 865 of the family's 1533-position model. The record is from RNAcentral.